This is a non-coding RNA of Oryza glaberrima (African rice), 182 nucleotides long. Lineage: Eukaryota; Viridiplantae; Streptophyta; Magnoliopsida; Poales; Poaceae. The record is from Rfam.
AAAAAAACAAACACUAAAUUCCCGUGUCCAACAUUUAACCGUCUGUUUUAUAUGAAACUUUUUAUAAUUAGUAUUUUUAUUGUUGUUAGAUGAUAAAACAUGAUUAAUACUUUAUGCGUGACUUGUCUUUUUAAUUUUUUUCAUAAUUUUUUUAAAUAAGACGGAUGGUCAAAUAUUAGACA